GUCAUUGCUGUCUCCUAAGCAUGCCAUCUCCUGGUAAUCCUAGUUUUGAACCAUAGUUAUGUUUGCUGUGCUUGUCCUUUUGAGGAGGGAAGAGUUCGGGCUAGAUGGAGAUUCUUUUACAGGAUGAUCUCUUGCCACUCUAUCUUAUCUCAUGGUUCAAGUGACAGGACAGUGGUGAGCCAUAAUGAAGUGGUUGAUGAAUUACUUUGGUACCCAUGGGCUAUGAGGAGCCUGGGCCAGAUCACCAACUGGAUAACAAUGAAGGUGAUGGUGGUGGUGCUGGGGCCAUGGGCUAGCAAGGCAAGUCAGUGGUUCUGAACUUGUGUGGGACUUAGCAGGGUGGAGCUCUGCCUCUGCUCAAACCCAAACCUGUCCUCCUGCUGCCUAGAUCCACGAAACUGUGAUAGCAGGAGAUCAGGGAUGAGGAAUAUAAAAGGAAAGGAGCUAAUAUUUACUUAGAACCCCCUUAUUUGUUAGUCACGUUAACAGUUUUAAAAGUUAACUGAUCUGGUCUGUAAUAGCCCUUGGAAUAAGCAUUUUGUUUAUUUAAUAGUUAAAGACUUGAGGCUGAGGCAGAUUAAAUAACUCAUUCCAGGUCAACAGCAAGGAAGAGAUGGCCCAGAAGUUUGAAUUUAGACCUUUCUGGCUCUACAGACUGUCUUCCAAUACCGUAGUCCAGCCUCCAGAGGAAACCCUCUAGGGCCCAGGUGGGCUUAGCACUUGGACCUGGGAAACCCAUGCAGAGGACUAGCAUCAAUUGGGGAACACGGAGCCCACUGCUCUCUUACCUGUUUCCAACUAGCUGAGCAUCCAGACUGGAUAUAGCCCAAGGUGGAAAUACAUAGACUGAUGGAGAAGCAGACUUUGGGCACCAGACUGGCCUUCCCUGCCCUAUCCCGGCUGCUCGCUCUCCAAGACUAUCCUGACGUUGGGGUUCUUCCUGUAUACACCCAUAACCCAUUUGUGGAUAUACCUGUUUGGUGCCAGACACAUUGUUUUCUGCUUAUCUUCUCAGUUCUUCAGAAGGCUGUCAUAGGCAGUGUGCAGGCCUUUUGUCCUUAUAACCCUGAAGAUUGUUGGAGUACACUAAUGAUAGAUUUUUUUCUUCAUGAAUCUGAGGAGAAAUAAAUGGGCCUAUGUGGGUAACAAGCCUUCAGUUGCUGAACAAUUUGGUGAAAAAAUUAUAUUAAUAUGGCUAUGAUUAUAUGCACACUGGAUAAAACCCAAUAAAGAUUUGGGAUAAGCCUCA
Neofelis nebulosa (Clouded leopard) is the source of this 1249-nucleotide long non-coding RNA. RefSeq lists it as uncharacterized. The transcript is spliced from 2 exons. The record is from RefSeq and is a predicted model, not a curated record. Lineage: Eukaryota; Metazoa; Chordata; Mammalia; Carnivora; Felidae.